GUUACUGUGGUGUAAUGGUCAGCAUGUUCGCCUCGCAAGCGAGGGGACCCGGGUUCGAUCCCCGGGUAGGGUGAAACU
This 78-nucleotide transfer RNA is filed under the name Homarus americanus (American lobster). Its description in RNAcentral is "tRNA-Ala". The stretch from base 8 to 65 matches the Rfam family "tRNA", at positions 8 to 63 of the family's 71-position model. Rfam says of the family: Transfer RNA (tRNA) molecules are approximately 80 nucleotides in length. Lineage: Eukaryota; Metazoa; Arthropoda; Malacostraca; Decapoda; Nephropidae. The record is from RNAcentral.